This 65-nucleotide transfer RNA is filed under the name Clanis deucalion. RNAcentral describes it as "tRNA-Pro". Lineage: Eukaryota; Metazoa; Arthropoda; Insecta; Lepidoptera; Sphingidae. The record is from RNAcentral. RNAcentral also lists the same sequence under 1 other name.
CAAGGAAUAGUUUAUAAAAAUAAUAAUUUUGGGGAUUAUAGAUAAAGAAAUUUCUUUUUCUUUGA